This 253-nucleotide ribosomal RNA is filed under the name uncultured bacterium. RNAcentral's name for it is "partial 16S ribosomal RNA". It matches the Rfam family "Bacterial small subunit ribosomal RNA", at positions 524 to 776 of the family's 1533-position model. The record is from RNAcentral.
UACGAAGGGGGCUAGCGUUGCUCGGAAUCACUGGGCGUAAAGCGCACGUAGGCGGACUCUUAAGUCGGUGGUGAAAUCCUGGAGCUCAACUCCAGAACUGCCUUCGAUACUGGGAGUCUCGAGUCCGAGAGAGGUGAGUGGAACUGCGAGUGUAGAGGUGAAAUUCGUAGAUAUUCGCAAGAACACCAGUGGCGAAGGCGGCUCACUGGCUCGGUACUGACGCUGAGGCGCGAAAGCUAGGGGAGCAAACAGG